Molecule: ribosomal RNA, 456 nt
Filed under: uncultured bacterium
Lineage: Bacteria
Description: bacterial SSU rRNA
Rfam family: Bacterial small subunit ribosomal RNA
Source: RNAcentral
GAUGAACGCUAGCUACAGGCUUAACACAUGCAAGUCGAGGGGCAGCAUGAACAUAGCUUGCUAUGUUUGAUGGCGACCGGCGCACGGGUGCGUAACACGUAUCCAAUCUACCCAUGGCUCGGGGAUAGCCUUUCGAAAGAAAGAUUAAUACCCGAUGGUCUCGGUAACGGAUGAGGAUGCGUACGAUUAGCUUGUUGGCGGGGUAACGGCCCACCAAGGCUACGAUCGUUAGGGGUUCUGAGAGGAAGGUCCCCCCACACUGGAACUGAGACACGGUCCAGACUCCUACGGGAGGCAGCAGUGAGGAAUAUUGGUCAAUGGGCGAGAGCCUGAACCAGCCAAGUAGCGUGAAGGAUGACUGCCCUACGGGUUGUAAACUUCUUUUGUUUGGGAAUAAAAGACGCUACGUGUAGCGUUGUGCAUGUACCUUACGAAUAAGCAUCGGCUAAUUCCGUG